This is a transfer RNA of Streptococcus sanguinis SK36, 88 nucleotides long. It matches the Rfam family "tRNA". From Rfam's summary of the family: Transfer RNA (tRNA) molecules are approximately 80 nucleotides in length. The record is from Rfam. Lineage: Bacteria; Bacillati; Bacillota; Bacilli; Lactobacillales; Streptococcaceae.
GGAGAAUUACUCAAGAGGCUGAAGAGGACGGUUUGCUAAAUCGUUAGGUCGGGUAACCGGCGCGGGGGUUCGAAUCCCCCAUUCUCCG